CAGGUACCGUCAUUUUCUUCCCUGCUGAUAGAGCUUUACAUACCGAAAUACUUCUUCACUCACGCGGCGUCGCUGCAUCAGGGUUUCCCCCAUUGUGCAA
Molecule: ribosomal RNA, 100 nt
Filed under: uncultured bacterium
Lineage: Bacteria
Description: partial 16S ribosomal RNA
Source: RNAcentral